RNAcentral lists this non-coding RNA (202 nucleotides) under Cystobacter fuscus. Lineage: Bacteria; Pseudomonadati; Myxococcota; Myxococcia; Myxococcales; Archangiaceae. The record is from RNAcentral.
AUCGAAUCCAUAGCCAGGGGUGCCCGCUAUCAAGGGCAUAACGGGGAAGCCGGUGUGAGUCCGGCGCGGACCCGCCACUGUAAGUGGGAAGCUACCUCCGAAGUCACCACUCGAUGCGUCGGGGAAGGUGGAGGUGGCGCGGAACGCCGUCAGGCGCUCUGAAUCCACGAGCCAGGAGACCUACCCAGGGCUGUUCGACCCA